This 440-nucleotide ribosomal RNA is filed under the name uncultured bacterium. Its description in RNAcentral is "partial 16S ribosomal RNA". It matches the Rfam family "Bacterial small subunit ribosomal RNA", at positions 338 to 795 of the family's 1533-position model. The record is from RNAcentral.
CCUACGGGUGGCAGCAGUGGGGAAUAUUGCACAAUGGGGGAAACCCUGAUGCAGCAACGCCGCGUGGGUGAAGGAGUCCUUCGUGAUGUAAAGCUCUAUCAGCAGGGAAGAAAAUGACGGUACCUGACUAAGAAGCCCCGGCUAACUACGUGCCAGCAGCCGCGGUAAUACGUAGGGGGCAAGCGUUAUCCGGAUUUACUGGGGGUAAAGGGUGCGUAGACGGCGACGCAAGGCUGAAGUGAAAGGCCAGUGCCAAACGCUGGAACUGCUGUGGAAACUGGGUGGCUAGAGUGCAGGAGAGGGAAGUGGAAUUCCUAGUGUAGCGGUGAAAUGCGUAGAUAUUAGGAGGAACACCAGUGGCGAAGGCGGCUUGCUGGACUGUAACUGACGUUGAGGCUCGAAGGCGUGGGGAGCAAACAGGAUUAGAUACCCGAGUAGUC